AACGAACGCUGGCGGCAGGCUUAACACAUGCAAGUCGAACGCCCCGCAAGGGGAGUGGCGGACGUGUGAGUAACGCGUGGGAACAUACCCUUUUCUACGGAAGAGCUCUGGGUAACUGGAAUUAAUACCGUAUACGCCCUACGGUGGUAAGAUUUAUCGGGGAAGGAUUGGGCCGCGGUGGAUUAGCUAGUUGGUGGGGUAAAGGCCUACCAAGGCGACGAUCCAUAGCUGGUCAGAGAGGAUGAUCAGCCACAUUGGGAGUGAGACACGUCCCAAACUCCUACGGGAGGGAGCAGAGGGGAAUAUUGGACAAUGGGCGCAAGCCUGAUCCAGCCAUGCCGCGUGAGUGAUGAAGGCCUUAGGGUUGUAAAGCUCUUUCAACGAUGAAGAUAAUGACGGUAGUCGGAGAAGAAGCCCCGGCUAACUUCGUG
RNAcentral lists this ribosomal RNA (431 nucleotides) under uncultured bacterium. Its description in RNAcentral is "partial 16S ribosomal RNA". It matches the Rfam family "Bacterial small subunit ribosomal RNA", at positions 29 to 507 of the family's 1533-position model. The record is from RNAcentral.